Molecule: long non-coding RNA, 570 nt
Filed under: Nicotiana benthamiana
Lineage: Eukaryota; Viridiplantae; Streptophyta; Magnoliopsida; Solanales; Solanaceae
Description: long non-coding RNA (NBEN_LNC002410)
Source: RNAcentral
GGGGGGUCACUUGAACCUCCUUUGCCGGAAAGUUACAUUUGUACAUAUAAGGAAAAAUCCAUUUUGUAUCUCUAUAAAUUAUAUUUUGAAUUCCCUUGGCACAACCCAAAACAUAGCACAAUGGUCAAGAAGUUCAAAACCUUUGUGAGAUUGCUACUUCAAUUCACAAGCACCAUAGUCUGUGACUUCCGUCAGUUCUUUUGAUAAUAAUCCUAAGCACACAGUGCUCAAGGCAAAUGCAAACCCUCGUUACACACAAAUGUCUCUAUAUGGAACACUAAAGGGAAAAUUUUGCCUUCUCAUUUUUGUUCUUCUUACUUAGAUCAAACAACGGAAAAAUGAUACUCUUCCUUUUAUGAAGCUUUUGUUAUUUGACUGAAGAAAUUACAGCACAAGUGAAUGAAGUGUUACAAAUACGACCUCCACCUCAACCUCACCAGAAAACAAAACAAUCCCAAAGAAACGAAAAAAAAGGAAGAAAAAGGACAAUGACUCAUGUAUGUGAAACCUCCUUCUUGGCCAGUUACAUGUAAAAUCUAGCACAGAAAUAAUUUACAUAUGUUAUCUGGC